Molecule: long non-coding RNA, 6440 nt
Organism: Triticum urartu
Lineage: Eukaryota; Viridiplantae; Streptophyta; Magnoliopsida; Poales; Poaceae
Source: RefSeq, a predicted model, not a curated record
UAUCUUAUUUACUCCUCCGCCGCAGAUGGUGAUCCAGCGCCUCCGCGCCAUGCCCUCGUCCGGCAGGCUUAAGGUCCUGGUGGCGCCGCCGCGCGUCGACAUGGCGUUCUGCGGUGCCUCGGUCACCAAGGGACGGGCCGAACGUCGCCGCCUCCGUUGCUAGUACCUCGCCCGCACCAACAUCCCAUCGCCGGCAGAGCCACAGCAACAGCUUGGGCUACAAUCAGCGGGUGGCACGUCACAAGCAGCGGCGGUCAGUAUCAAGGGGCGGGGCAAACUAGGCUUCCGCGGCAACCAGGUGGCUGGCCCACAUGUCAGUGACCCAAAAGCAGGUGCCUUUAAGGCACUGAAGCUGCGUCCCAAUCUUGUAACAUCCCCAACGUUCACAUCGUUUUCAAAUUUUCAUCCAAUUAUAGGGUACAAACAACUCUAUAAUCAGGUUAAGGUUUAGAGUGUGGUUUGUAUUUCAGAAUGAAAAGAAGGUGUGGAGAAUGUUUAAAGUAGGAACCAAAAAGGAAAAUCAUCAACCAAUAUGAUAAUCCAUGUAGCAUACGAAAAACACCAAAAGAUAAAGGGAUAAGUAUAUUUUCCGUCCCUCAACUCUUUUGAAAAUAUAGAAAUCGUCCCUUAACUCCAAAACCGGUAAAGGUUAGUCCCUCAACUUCUCAAACCGGAUAAGUUUAGUCUCUCAUACCGCUUCGGAUGGCUUCGUUGAUGAUGUGGCAUGGUUUUGACCCUGGUAUUCGGAGUUGACUGUCACCUCUUCUUCGUUCUAUUUCCCACGCAAUAGACAUUUCAUCGAAUAGUUGAUGUGCACACUCUGGCUCAUGGGCUCCUGCCACCUAUGGCCAACUUAGAUCGGGAGAUUGGAGAGCCAUGGAGAGGCGGGAGGAGAUCGUGGUGGCCGGUGGCUGCAUGGCCCUGGUCGUAGCUUGAGCCUUGAGCAGGAGGGGGACGACACCGGCUCUUUUCCUCCUCCACGCCAAUGCACGGCCCUCAUCGUAGCUUGAUCCAGCGGCAGCCUCUCGUACGUGGUGUUGCCGGACGUGGCUGCAAUCACCAUGACGGGGCUAGAGCCCGGACGCGGGUAGCUCUCCCAUCACGGUACCCGCCCACAGGCGAGGUACGCUGCGAGCCCCGUUGUUCCAAGUGGCGCCGGCGCCGGACAGGGACAGUAUCUCAAACCGGCCCGUAGGACGAAGGCGGCCGCCCCGGUCCGCGCGGGCUCCAAUCGUGAAUGCAUCUGUUACUUGUGUACUUCUAGCCGGGAACGCGUCCUUUCGGGGAGGUGCACGGCUAGCUCGAGUUCUUUCCGAGCUAGCUACCGCAGUACACGCUACACGGAGAGAGAUGCAUACGUACACAAGCAACGUAUGCUAGCUAAUCGAUUUACCCUGAAGGAAUCAAUCAACCUGGUAGUAGCUAGCUUCGACUGAUAAGAGGAAGUAGGAAAAAAAAAUGAGGAUGCAAAAUAAAUUGGACCGUGGUGUUCAGCUCAAUGCCAACGAGACGUGGUGCCAGCCAAGGACCUUAUCGGCCUCGUCGCCUCGUCAAAGCUUGAUGCGGCGAGUACGGUGACCAAGCUAGAGGUGGCGUGAACGCUGGCCAAGCUCCAGGCUGCUUCCCUCGCAGAAGCUGCCACGGCCACCAGGGUCAAAACCAUGCCACGUGAUCAACGAAACCAUAAAUGGUAUGAGGGACUAAAGUUAUCCGGUUUGAAAAAUUGAGGGACUAAGAUUUACUGGUUUUAAAGUUAAGGGACCAUUUCUAUACUAUCGAGAGAGUUGAGGGACGAAAAAUAUACUUAUCCCAAAGAUAAAUGAAGUUCUUUUAUCAUUUAUGCACAUGGCAUAAAUAACCAUAUUUUUUGAUGAUUUUUCACAGGUCAUCAUAUCUUAACAUUCUCUACUACCAUGAUCUUUUUCUCGUUUUUUUUCAAAGGUUCAGUACACAAAAGUACUUAUCAGGACUGGCUAGGUUUUUGUCUAAUGUUUAUAGUAAGUUAAGUGGUUAAUUUUAGGUUGCUUCUUAGUUUAGGUUUAAGUCGGACAACACAAAUAGUUUGAGGGCUCAACAGUUUUUUUCCCUCGAAACGUAAAAGUGAAAGUGUUCUCGAUCUCUAGCUAUGGAUUUGCUUAAUGGAUAAUUACUUUGAAUCAAAUUCUCGUGAGGCCAAGAACACAAGAACAGCUACCAAUGUUGCUAAAAUUUGCACAAAACGUUGUGUUCAAAGGACAAGAAUCAGAUUAAAAAAUUGUUGCAGCCCUCUCUGGAUCGUAGGAAUUUCAUAGGAUAUUUGGAGGAUCUUAGUGUGGCAAACUUGUGCCGGAAAUGUUCUUUAGGUUGACUUCCUACGCCGUAAUGUCGUAGAAAUUUCAACAUCUCCUGGAAUCACACUUUCCUUGUGUUCUAAUUUUGUUCUAUUGAAACCCUGCAUGUUUUUUCACACACAAAACGAAAACACUAGUUCUGCAUGUUUUUUCCGCAAAAAAGACUAUUUCUGUAAGUUUUAUGUGUUUUCCAAUAAUUGUGCCGUACGCGUAUACCUGUCAAAUUCCUACAUUUUCUUAUAUUUCUCCUGGUUACGAUCCAGAGAGGCCCCGCCUGUCCAUCUCAUUAGUCUGAACCUCCUUUUGGCGCCGCACUUUCUUCAGCCUAAGAUAGCGAGGCGACUCUAUGGCUGUAUGCACUGCAUUGACCCAAGCCAGCGUCACCGCACUUCUUCUAUGUCUUUGGUGCACCUUCCAGGGUGCAUCCUGUCAAUACGGCCUUUUCAAGCCAACUCCUUUCCCUCAGGAAAAAAUAUUUUCUGUACAGAUGUUAAUGAAUAAUAGUGAGGGCUACAGUUUGCCAAAAGAAAAAAGGUGCAUCCUGUCAAAAAGGGCCACCGGCACUUGCCUGAUGAACAGUGGCGCUCCAUAAUCUGGACGCGCUACCAAGACCAGACCAGCGGCAGAGAACUUUCCUGAAGAACGUUAAUGGUACGGUAAUAUUGGCGCGGUAUGAACGAGCGUCUCAUCAGGUCAUCAUCAUAGGAUCCAUCCAUCAAGUCUCUCUCUCUCUACCUCAAAGAAAAAAAAAAUCCAUCCAUCAAGCUCAGAUUCAAAUAAAUAUGAUGCUUAAGGGCAUCUUGACCCUCAAAUGGUCCGCAUACGUUCGGAUCGUGAAAUCCAUCUAACGUGGGCAUGUAUCGGUCCGCCGAGCGGUCUGGACAUGCUUUUUUCUGCAAUCCAAAGACAAACGUCGGGGGGUUUUUUGGGCGUCUGGACAACACCCACUUCCGUGUCUGAUUGCCCUGACCCACUAAAAACCCACCGCUCUCGCUCGUGCGCAUUCCCUCCCAACGCCAACUGCCCGCAUUCAUGCCGUUGUAGAGCGGCCGCUCCACAUUGAUGUCGGCUCAGAGCGGACAUGAUCUCUCGUUGGUUCCGCCAUUGAAGCGGUGCCGAGGGUGCCGCCCGCGACGCGUCCUCAGUAUCCGUGCAUGCGUUACUGGAUGGGACGGUCGGAUAUCUACCACGCCCGUUCAACGCCGUGUCUGUCCGUAUGCCGUUAUUAAGCAGGCUCGCCGGCCGAGAAACCCACUCUGGCGCCACGCAUUAAUGCACCUGGAUGCCUGGCCUCAGCGAGAUCCGGCUAACUCCACAACUCAAGUCGCUCGCUCCACAUCCUCCUCCCUUGUCCACACCACAUUUGCCAUGACUGCAGGCGGCAAUGCAAUGUGGGAGAGCCUAUCAACGGAUAUGAAGCACGAGGUGGCCGCCCUUGCGACCGGCUAGCAAAUCCAUCGUGCCAGGCGGAUCAAGGCCGGCAUGCCAGCCAAAUCGCCCGAGAUAUCCAACGACGAGGACAACCCCACGAUGGAGACGGGCUCCGGCGAUGCCACACCGGAGCCCGAGCACUUGCCUAUGCAUGCCGGACUCACCAUGGAGCAGGCGUAGACGCACUUCAACGCCGCCAUGGCGGAGGAGAAGCCUGUGACGGCGCCUAUGUCGGCGUUCCAACAGGCACAUGAGGAACAGGCACAGGAGGAACACCGGUACAACCUGUUCCUCCUUGAGUAGCACUGUCUGGUGGAGGGCCAAAUCAAUGGCGAGCGUGUGAGCGAGGAGGCCGUGGCGGACAUGGCCGCGGUGAACCCCAACUUCAUCAUGGAGCAGCAUGCGCUCUACAAUGCCAUCCGCGCUCAAGCCCUCGCUUGUCAGGAAGCAGCCGCCGCGGAGGCGCAGCUGCAGGUUAUCAUGGAUGAGAACAACGCUAGUUGCGCCUCCUAUGCCUCGCCGAUGAACUAUUGGGCGGGCCAGUUCGACGACGAUGGUGCCAGCGCCACCAUCUCCAUCGUGGACCUCACGUCCACCAGCGAUGGACAAGGCGCGGACCCUUUCGAGGAUGAGUAGGGCAUGAGAGACGACAGAUGGAGGACGACAAGGGCUUGGACGUUGGACGCCCCUGUAGGGUUGGUUUAGGGUCGAAUUGGUCUUUUUUUUAAAUGUUGGGAAUGUGAUGAAAAUCCGACGUGUAUAUAUGAAUGUCAUACAUUUUGUAUGAAAUCUGUCGUGUUUGUAUGAAUUUUGUCUGGUUAGUUCAAUUAGUUGCUGAAAUGUAUGCGGACGGUGUUGGAUGGCGGCCUCCAAUAUCAGUGUCCGCGGACUGGUCCUGUCCGCGGACGGAUACCGGAGGGAAUUUGCAGGUCGCCGUUAGAGAUGCCCUAAUCAAGCUUAUUUUUCAGCAGGAAAAUAGCGCACAUUUUUACUUGCUGUAAUGUUAAUAGUUAUUUAGUUCAUUCGGUUGCUGCCGGCUUACUUUUUUAGAGAAGAGGCUGGUGCCCGGCUUUAAAUUAAUGAAGCUCUUACAACCAAUAUCACAACUCAACAUAACACUGCAGAACAAAAGGAAAAGCUCCGGCAAGAUACAUGGGUGCCCAGGGGGAGCGACAAAGCUCAAAAAUAAUACAACAAGGCAUAGGAGCCCUCAAACAUGAUUGGAAGACCAAUAGUGCGAAGAAGGCCAACUCCGGAAGGAAACCAGCCGGCAAAAGAGGCUAUGCCAUUGCCAUCGCCUGUGCGUCCGACAAAAUAGCAUCAUCCUGCUCCAUCGCCGAUAGGAGCCCCCAGCUCCUCGCCCUGACUCAAAGGGCGCCGCACCGUUUGAACAAUGGAGUGCUCAGCACCCUAGAGCGCAGAUGGAAGCUGGUGCCAAGACAACAGAGGGAGGCUUUCAAGCACAACCACCUCACCGAACCUAGCUCCUCGGGAGUGCACCGACGUUGAAGCUUGGACCAACACACGAUAAAAAGAAGCUGCCAUCUAUAGAACUCACCUCAGUGAUUGGUAAGAUGGGACCUUGCCCAUGAGACGGAGCCUCCAAGGAGGAAACGACACCACAACGCCGCCAUCGUCUGGUCUGGAACAUGCCAGACACACAGACACAUGGUUUUCACCUAGAGUGCAUGGUGGAUACAGGUCACCCACGAUGACACCUCCAAGGAGAAAAACGACACAACCAGAGUGUCGCUAUCACCGGCACCGACACUGUCGGACAGAGCUUUCGCUCGGGACACGACGCCAACCACCCAGGUCCAUCAGCCAAGGCCAACCGAGGCAAUAUGCAGACAACGCCCCGACUAGGCCGGAGGCCGCGAAGAACACACCCGCAAGCCGGACGCCCCCAAGUAAUCCACCUCGCCACCCAAGCGGCCGAGGCGACACAUGAGCACCCGCACAUCGACACCUGCUGAGAUGGUGUCAUCGUGCUCACCGUCCGGAGCCGCCGCUCCUGUGACCAAGGGGAUCCACCUUCACCCACCACCCACAUGGCGAUGGGCCGCCAGCACGCAUUCGGCCGCCCCGGCUGCCGGACUGACGCAAAACCACCACUCACUGCACACCAAAGCAUGCACCUUGCACCCGCACGAAGCCAAACCCUAGAUCUAGGAUACCGGGUACCCAGAAGAAGUGGCCCAAGGACCACAGACGAUGGACGGGCCAAGCCCAAGCAUACCACCAGAUCGGAUCAGGAGCAUGCUGGAUCUGGCGUCAAGUCUUCAGCGGCGGCCGGGAACUCCCUCCAUGACCGCCGGCCACCCAGGGCAGCCGCGUCACCAGGACCCGGAGGAAGCAGCCCGCCUCCCCCCGAGACCGCCGAGGGCCACGCCGACACCAAGUAGGCCACGGCCACCCAGGCAAGGCCAUGGACAACGGGAAGGAAGGGGCUUUCCAGAUCUGGCGAGGGCCAUCGGUGCGAGUGAGCACGCGUGCUAGGGAGCAGGGGAGGGGAGAAGGAGGUGGAGGGGGCGCCCCGCUGCCGCCGGAGGCGGCGAGGGGAAGGAGCGCGCGAAAGGGGCUGGUUGGCGCGGCGGUGACGUUCGCCUAUUAAAAGUGCAACUAAUCCCUGGGUGGUUUUGGUAAUUAUUAACAACAUAUAGCUCAUUGAACUAAUAU